This 497-nucleotide ribosomal RNA is filed under the name uncultured bacterium. RNAcentral describes it as "partial 16S ribosomal RNA". It matches the Rfam family "Bacterial small subunit ribosomal RNA", at positions 28 to 507 of the family's 1533-position model. The record is from RNAcentral.
GAUGAACGCUGGCGGCGUGCCUAAUACAUGCAAGUCGAGCGAACAGACGAGGAGCUUGCUCCUCUGACGUUAGCGGCGGACGGGUGAGUAACACGUGGAUAACCUACCUAUAAGACUGGGAUAACUUCGGGAAACCGGAGCUAAUACCGGAUAAUAUAUUGAACCGCAUGGUUCAAUAGUGAAAGACGGAUUUGCUGUCACUUAUAGAUGGAUCCGCGCCGCAUUAGCUAGUUGGUAAGGUAACGGCUUACCAAGGCAACGAUGCGUAGCCGACCUGAGAGGGUGAUCGGCCACACUAGAACGGAGACACGGUCCAGACCCCUACGGGAGGCAGCAGUAGGGAAUCUUCCGCAAGGGGCGAAAGCCUGACGGAGCAACGCCGCGUGAGUUAUGAAGGUCUUCGGAUCUUAAUACUCUGUUAUUAGGGAAGAACAAAUGUGUAAGUAACUAUGCACGUCUUGACGGUACCUAAUCAGAAAGCCACGGCUAACUACGUG